Molecule: small RNA, 68 nt
Filed under: Domibacillus iocasae
Lineage: Bacteria; Bacillati; Bacillota; Bacilli; Caryophanales; Bacillaceae
Description: Bacillaceae-1 RNA
Rfam family: Bacillaceae-1 RNA
Source: Rfam by way of RNAcentral
GUAAAUGGAACAAAAGCUAAGAGCGCGGCAUCGUGCCGUCGCGCUUUAAAGCCGCCACGACCUGUGGC